UGACCGAUUCUUUUACUCAAUGAAGCAAGCUUCAGAAAGCUUAAACACAAUGGUAUCCUGAAACAGAAUAGUUUGCCUGCAAAUGUUCAGUAACUUUCACUGGAUACAAUUAUCGAAAAUCAAUGGCCGGCCGAUAGCCAUUCGGCAAAAAGUCACUUUCAUUAUCAUUAGUAUGAAAAUAUAUUCAGUACUUGCAGUGAACUUGCCUAGUAAACAGGAACUCUGACCAUUUAGGAAAAAGUCACUCCCACUGACAUUAGUAUAAAAAUAUAUUCAGUAGUUGCAGUGAACUUGUCUAGUAACAGGAAUCUUGACCAUUCAGGAAAAAGUCACUCUCAUGAACAUUAGUCUAAAAGUAUAUUCAGCACUUGCAAUGAACUUGCCCAGUAAAGAAAAAAAUUGAUUAGAACCACAUCAGAAGUUUGUGAGUAUAAAACAUGAGUGAAUUGGAAAAUAAUUUUCUUGUCAUUUCCUUUGAAAUGUUAAACAACAAUCUUAAUAAAAGUUUCAGAGAGUCAGGUAUAUUUGUACACAAACCAAGCAACUUAAGCACGCAAUCCUACUAAAAGAUAUCAAUAAUGGUUAAUUUCAACUUACUAAGACAGAGUGUGCGGUUUUUUAAUUUGUUAAGCAGGUUUGCAUAAUAACCAAACAGCUAUGAACUGAUGGAUGACUAGACAUCAGAAGCUUGACCAUUUCCACACCAAACCCCCGGCCUGUGGGAGCACUAUGUUAGAGGAUACCAGCUAGUGUAUUCUCCAGAACUUCGAUAUACGCAAAAUAGAGCAUGGCAGAAAUUGCAGUGAACUGCCUCCUUGACAAGCUCAAGGACUUUAGAGAAAACGGGGUUCUAUUCAGAGGUGCCGAGGAAGAAGCAGAGCCAAAAAACAUCAAGGUGCUGAUCAUAAUCAAGUACCUCUCUUUCAAGACGGAUCUGGCCACCAACGAAUGAACCGCUUCCUAGGAGAAAGAUGAGCUCGUCUAUCGCCACAUCUGCUAAAUCAAAACGGUCACUCACACCGAAACAGACGAUGAACUUCCCCUAUCUAUUUCAUCAUAAACUGAAUGAUUGUUGGAGAGAUACAGAGAGGGAAUGCACGCUCAAGUAUAAAUUGUGAAGAAGACCGAUUUGAAUCAUUCAAAACACUGAGAACGACUAUAAUCUUGUCCUAAUUCCUCAAUUUAGG
Molecule: long non-coding RNA, 1187 nt
Filed under: Eucalyptus grandis
Lineage: Eukaryota; Viridiplantae; Streptophyta; Magnoliopsida; Myrtales; Myrtaceae
Description: long non-coding RNA (EGRA_LNC002693)
Source: RNAcentral